Oncorhynchus kisutch (coho salmon) is the source of this 1654-nucleotide long non-coding RNA. The record is from Ensembl. NCBI's taxonomy places the organism in Eukaryota, Metazoa, Chordata, Actinopteri, Salmoniformes, Salmonidae.
AACUAAGCAUACUGAUAUGCUCAGUCUUCCUGUAGGUAUACCAGUCAAUUUGUAUACAGGCAUUCUAUUUGGCCCUAGUUUUACAGGGGGUGGAGCUCCUAGUUAUUUACUCCUCAUAGUUCCCACAGCCAAGCUCCUCUACAGUGCGGGAGGUAGAUUUGCUGUCUUGCAGACGUAUGAAAAUGACGCAAGGGAGUUUUUCCUGGAUUGGAGGAGUAUGAGGAUUAGUGUUGCGGUGUGCUUUAUUUGGCCCCUACACAAAGGGCCAGAGAGGACCACAGAGACAUCCAAACUGUGGGUAUAACUAUCUGGCACAGAGCCACCAGAGCAGUAAGGAUCUCUGGCUCCCAAGGAAGUACUGUGACCCCUCAUUCAACAGCCAGUCAGCUGGAGCCAUCACCCAGAACUGUCAGUACAAUACUGAUGGGCAUCGAUGUGAGCGCUACAAAGUGGGUAACUACGGCAAUGCUGCCCAGAGGACCUGUCGUGGGUGUCUUAUCCCUGAAGCUCUAUCUCUUAAUGCAUAUAGAAGAUCUCCUUCGUCACCUGAGGGAGGCGAAAUCUAGUAUACCCACCAUAAAUGUGGCAGUGGAGGAGGUGGCCAGGAUGAUGAAGGAGGUGCAGCGCAUGGUGCAGGAGAUGAGAGAACUUGGCUGCAGUAACCAGACAAGGAGGCUGCCAGGGAGCAAGAGGAGGCUCAAAAAUUAUUGGACUUCAUCAGGAACAAUAUGACAACUCCAUUGGAUGACAACCUGGCUGUAGCCAAUGAGGCGGCAGAGUCCCUGAUGACGUGGGGCUCUGCGUUGAUGAAUCUGGCAGAGGCUGUGGUACAAGCAGAGGAUAUGGUAAACAGGACAUGGAGCCUCAACUCCAGCAGUACUGACUUCCUAAGAGACCUGACGGUAAUGUCAAAUACUGAAGAAUAACAUAUAUGAAAUGUUGUAGAUACAACACAAAAAAAUGUCCCUCCUAUUUCCAAAUAAUCUACUAGCAAUUAAAAGAUGAGCUGGAGAGGAAACGUGAUUCAAUCCAAUCAAUAUGACGAAAGAUAAACUGAGGAAUAUCACAAACCUUUUGUAAAUGAUGAAGGAGCAAAACAAGGUAUGAAGCAGAUGAGGCAUUAAAAAUUUAAUUUAAAUCUUUCAGGAAUACGAGCACCUUGCAGCCGAGGUAGAUCAAAUAAAAUGUAUUUAUAAAGCCCUUCUUACAUCAUCACAGUGAUGUACAGAAACUCAGCCUAAAACCCCAAACAGCAAGCAACGCAGGUAUAGAAGCACAGUGGCUAGGAAAAACUCCCUAGAAAAGCCAGAACCUAGGAAGAAACCUAGAGAGGAAUCAGGCUAUGAGGGGUGGCCAGUCCUCUUCUGGCUGUGCCGGGUGGAGAUUAUAACAGAACAUGGCCAAGAUGUUCAAAUGUUCAUAGAUGACCAGCAGGGUCAAAUAAUAAUAAUCACAGUGGAUUUCGAGGGUGCAACAGGUCAGCACCUCAGGAGUAAAUGUCAGUUGGCUUUUCAUAGCCGAUCAGUAUCUCUACCGCUCCUGCUGUCUCUACCGCUCCUGCAAUGGAACUACAAAUGUAGGUAGACAAAGAGAGGGUUAGGUUGUUCUUAGGUGGGGGCCUACUUCUUCAUACCCCACAGACGUUUCCUAUGUC